RNAcentral lists this transfer RNA (66 nucleotides) under Lichanura trivirgata (rosy boa). Its description in RNAcentral is "tRNA-Ile". Lineage: Eukaryota; Metazoa; Chordata; Lepidosauria; Squamata; Ungaliophiidae. The record is from RNAcentral.
GGAAAUGUGCCCGAGACCCCAGGGGCUACCUUGAUAGAGUAGAAACAGGAACACACCUCAUUUCCC